GACGAACGCUGGCGGCGUGCCUAAUACAUGCAAGUAGAACGCACAGUUUAUACCGUAGCUUGCUACACCAUAGACUGUGAGUUGCGAACGGGUGAGUAACGCGUAGGUAACCUGCCUGGUAGCGGGGGAUAACUAUUGGAAACGAUAGCUAAUACCGCAUAAUAUUAAUUAUUGCAUGAUAAUUAAUUGAAAGGUGCAAUUGCACCACUACCAGAUGGACCUGCGUUGUAUUAGCUAGUAGGUGAGGUAACGGCUCACCUAGGCGACGAUACAUAGCCGACCUGAGAGGGUGAUCGGCCACACUGGGACUGAGACACGGCCCAGUCUCCUACGGGAGGCAGCAGUAGGGAAUCUUCGGCAAUGGACGAAAGUCUGACCGAGCAACGCCGCGUGAGUGAAGAAGGUUUUCGGAUCGUAAAGCUCUGUUGUAAGAGAAGAACGGGUGUGAGAGUGGAAAGUUCACACUGUGACGGUAUCUUACCAGAAAGGGACGGCUAACUACGUG
RNAcentral lists this ribosomal RNA (505 nucleotides) under uncultured bacterium. Its description in RNAcentral is "partial 16S ribosomal RNA". It matches the Rfam family "Bacterial small subunit ribosomal RNA", at positions 28 to 507 of the family's 1533-position model. The record is from RNAcentral.